UACGGGGGGGGCAAGCGUUGUUCGGAAUUACUGGGCGUAAAGGGCUCGUAGGUGGCCAACUAAGUCAGACGUGAAAUCCCUCGGCUUAACCGGGGAACUGCGUCUGAUACUGGAUGGCUUGAGUUCGGGAGAGGGAUGCGGAAUUCCAGGUGUAGCGGUGAAAUGCGUAGAUAUCUGGAGGAACACCGGUGGCGAAGGCGGCAUCCUGGACCACGACUGACGCUGAGUGAGCGAAAGCCAGGGGAGCGAACGGG
This 254-nucleotide ribosomal RNA is filed under the name uncultured bacterium. RNAcentral describes it as "partial 16S ribosomal RNA". It matches the Rfam family "Bacterial small subunit ribosomal RNA", at positions 524 to 776 of the family's 1533-position model. The record is from RNAcentral.